Molecule: ribosomal RNA, 460 nt
Filed under: uncultured bacterium
Lineage: Bacteria
Description: partial 16S ribosomal RNA
Rfam family: Bacterial small subunit ribosomal RNA
Source: RNAcentral
CCUACGGGCGGCAGCAGUGAGGAAUAUUGGUCAAUGGACGAGAGUCUGAACCAGCCACGUAGCGUGAAGGAUGACUGCCCUAUGGGUUGUAAACUUCUUUUAUAUGGGAAUAAAAUGUUCCACGUGUGGGCUUUUGUAUGUACCCUAUGAAUAAGGAUCGGCUAACUCCGUGCCAGCAGCCGCGGUAAUACGGAGGAUCCGAGCGUUAUCCGGAUUUAUUGGGUUUAAAGGGAGCGUAGGUGGAUUGUUAAGUCAGUUGUGAAAGUUUGCGGCUCAACCGUAAAAUUGCAGUUGAAACUGGAAGUCUGGAGUACAGUAGAGGAGGGCGGAAUUCGUGGUGUAGCGGUGAAAUGCUUAGAUAUCACGAAGAACUCCGAUUGCGAAGGCAGCUCACUGGACUGCAACUGACACUGAGGCUCGAAAGUGUGGGUAUCAAACAGGAUUAGAUACCCCUGUAGUC